This 69-nucleotide transfer RNA is filed under the name Conolophus subcristatus (Galapagos land iguana). RNAcentral describes it as "tRNA-Glu". It matches the Rfam family "tRNA". Rfam says of the family: Transfer RNA (tRNA) molecules are approximately 80 nucleotides in length. Their secondary structure includes four short double-helical elements and three loops (D, anti-codon, and T loops). Further hydrogen bonds mediate the characteristic L-shaped molecular structure. tRNAs have two regions of fundamental functional importance: the anti-codon, which is responsible for specific mRNA codon recognition, and the 3' end, to which the tRNAs corresponding amino acid is attached (by aminoacyl-tRNA synthetases). tRNAs cope with the degeneracy of the genetic code in two manners: having more than one tRNA (with a specific anti-codon) for a particular amino acid; and 'wobble' base-pairing, i.e. permitting non-standard base-pairing at the 3rd anti-codon position. Lineage: Eukaryota; Metazoa; Chordata; Lepidosauria; Squamata; Iguanidae. The record is from RNAcentral.
GUUUUUGUAGUUGAAUAACAACAGUGGUUUUUCGGACCGUAGGUCCUGGUUUGAGUCCAGGUAAAAAUA